Molecule: ribosomal RNA, 410 nt
Filed under: uncultured microorganism
Description: bacterial SSU rRNA
Rfam family: Bacterial small subunit ribosomal RNA
Source: RNAcentral
CAGCCGCCGCGGUAAUACGUAGGGUGCGAGCGUUAAUCGGAUUUACUGGGCGUAAAGCGUGCGCAGGCGGCCCGUUAAGACAGGUGUGAAAUCCCUGGGCUCAACCUAGGAAUUGCGCUUGUGACUGGCGGGCUCGAGUACGGUAGAGGGGGGUGGAAUUCCUGGUGUAGCAGUGAAAUGCGUAGAGAUGAGGAGGAACACCGAUGGCGAAGGCAGCCCCCUGGGCCUGGCCUGACGCUCAUGCACGAAAGCUUGGGGAGCAAACAGGAUUAGAUACCCUGGUAGUCCACGCCCUAAACGAUGGGUACUAGCCGUUUGGUGCGCGAUAGCGCUGAGUGGCGAAGCUAACGCGUGAAGUACCCCGCCUGGGGAGUACGGCCGCAAGGUUGAAACUUAAAGGAAUUGGCGGG